GAUGAAGAACGCAGCGAAAUGCGAUAAGUAGUGUGAAUUGCAGAAUUCAGUGAAUCAUCGAAUCUUUGAACGCACAUUGCGCCCUUUGGUAUUCCAAAGGGCAUGCCUGUUCGAGCGUCAUUUGUACCCUCAAGCUUUGCUUGGUGUUGGGCGUCUUGUCUCUAGCUUUGCUGGAGACUCGCCUUAAAGUAAUUGGCAGCCGGCCUACUGGUUUCGGAGCGCAGCACAAGUCGCACUCUCUAUCAGCAAAGGUCUAGCAUCCACUAAGCCUUUUUUUCAACUUUUGACCUCGGAUCAGGUAGGGAUACCCGCUGAACUUAAGCAUAUAAUAAGCGGAGGA
This 340-nucleotide unclassified non-coding RNA is filed under the name soil metagenome. RNAcentral's name for it is "partial contains 5.8S ribosomal RNA, internal transcribed spacer 2, and large subunit ribosomal RNA". The stretch from base 1 to 120 matches the Rfam family "5.8S ribosomal RNA", at positions 35 to 154 of the family's 154-position model. The record is from RNAcentral.